RNAcentral lists this long non-coding RNA (679 nucleotides) under Phoenix dactylifera (date palm). RNAcentral describes it as "long non-coding RNA (PDAC_LNC019545)". Lineage: Eukaryota; Viridiplantae; Streptophyta; Magnoliopsida; Arecales; Arecaceae. The record is from RNAcentral.
AACUUUAUUAUCUCUGCAGCAAGAAGUCUAUUAUGACUUUAUGUUUUUUAAAACUAUCGUUUGUUAUUUCUACAUAGAAAAUUGUUGUUCGCUGUGUUUUUUUCCCUCAGUUUGUCUUGGGCUUCUGAUUUGUGCCUUAAACCAGAUUCCUCAGUUAAAAUGGAGACAGCUUCAUGGAAUAGUUUGAGUUCCUGCAUGGAAUAGUUAGAGUUCCAAAAGAAGCUGGUUCGGUCUUGCUGACCUUUUUCCAGAUGAUCAUAAUACUUUUCAUUGUGUGAGAAUAGCUAAGGACCAUUACUUAGGGAGUCUCAGCUUGCUGGCAUUCCAUCAUGCAAUAUUUGAAAAUUAAAAUAUAUUCUUGUGUGUGGGAACGUGUCUGUGCGCGGGAACGUGUCUGUGUGCAUGUGUGUUGAAAGGAAAAAGUUCUCGACUGUGUGAAAGCAUUAUUCGCUUUCAUGAUUUCUACCAAUCUUUUGUUUAGGUGUUCGUUCCUUUAUACUCUUUCAUGUUGUACACUAAUCAUCCUUGUGUAUUACUGUUUUAGAUUUACUUACAGUCCUUUUCAUGUAGAAGAGAACUUUGCUUGGAACUUAUUGAAAUUCCAAACACGAAUCAUCAUACACAGGUUCAUGUGCCUAUACACUUCUCAUGCAUGUUGGUCCACAUCCUUUACGUGUCA